This 1316-nucleotide long non-coding RNA is filed under the name Canis lupus familiaris (dog). Its description in RNAcentral is "lncRNA (ENSCAFG00030005805.1)". The record is from RNAcentral. Lineage: Eukaryota; Metazoa; Chordata; Mammalia; Carnivora; Canidae.
CCAUCAGCCAAUUAGCUCAGAGUUAUGGGCUCUGAGGUAACAGUUAUGCAAAUGUUUGUUCCACGGUAGGCUAUUAACAGCCAUAUUUUCUCGAUCAAGCUGACAGAGACUGAUGGGUGGGGGAAGAAAAGGAAAGCGAGCAUUUGUUUAGUUGAAACUUCUUUCCUGUUGGGUUGUAACGAAGCAUUCAGUGAGGAGAAGCACCAAGCUUGGUGUUUUCUUUAUCUUAUUCCAUGUGAGUGUGCUGAGUGAAUGAGAGGGAACCCCCCCCGCCCCCACCCCAGGGAAAUGCAGGUGAUGGAGAGGGGAGGAAGACCAGCUAAGAAACUGUUGAAUCUGGACUGAAUUUAGCAGGCUGCUGCUGAAAGUGGUGGCUUUCCUGAUCGCUCAGUACACUGUCCCGUCACAGCCACAGGAAUCAAGAACCAACAUGGGGACCUGCUUUUGCUGCUGCCUCUCCUCUGCUAGGGCAACAGGGAGUGUCCGCUAAUAAUGCAGGAGGAUUAGGUCAAGUUCAAAUGGAGCACCAUUUAUACUUAGUCAUUAACACCUAUAAUAAAACUACAUAAUAACCAUAAAGAAUAUAUAACAGCCCUGUAAUGAUAUAAGUCAUGCUCAGUAGACCAGAAACUUUGUGUUUUUGUUUUUGUUUUUAUUUUUUUAGACCAGAAACUUUGAAGAAUACCUGAAACAUUGUUGAUGUGGAAGAAAAUAUGCUGUAUAUAUCCAGGUCCUGGUUUUGUGCCUGGCCCAUGAUAGCUAUUCAAGAAAUACUUGUGAAUGAACAAACUAAGAGUGGCCAAAUGUGAACCCAAGAGUCAAGGAAAGAAAGGAGUUUGAGUCUGUUGGAUGGUGCAAGUUGGAAGACGAAGAGGCUUCAGGGACAGAAGAAUGGGCCCUGACCAGGAGAGUGCCUCCUUCCUGUAGCAGCUAUAAAAAGGAGCCAAGAGUUACAACAGCCAGGGGCUCUGUGACCCCUCUACUCCAACAAGACAAGGAUCAAAGUGGACAUGACAUGGAGCAGAGUGGCAGGGGGAACCUCUCUGGCAGGGCGAAGCUGGGGAGCUGCACAGUAGAGGGAGUGUGAAGAGCCAAGAAGGACUGGUAGCCUGGGAAGGCAGUCCACUGCCAAGGUGUCCCAAUGCCAUGGGCAGGAGAAACAUUUGGGUACAGAGACACACACUAGAGGCUUUAGUUGCCCACCCAGACCACAGAAGACUGGGGACCAAACAGUUGGGUGCCUGGCACCACUUGGAAUGACAUCGUGGGAUGCCACUGGUUUUACUGAGCCACCUCCACUCCUCUAGCAAUACUGA